CUUGAUGAACGCUAGCUACAGGCUUAACACAUGCAAGUCGAGGGGCAGCAUUUCAGUUUGCUUGCAAACUGGAGAUGGCGACCGGCGCACGGGUGAGUAACACGUAUCCAACCUGCCGAUAACUCGGGGAUAGCCUUUCGAAAGAAAGAUUAAUACCCGAUGGCAUAAUUAGACCGCAUGGUCUUAUUAUUAAAGAAUUUCGGUUAUCGAUGGGGAUGCGUUCCAUUAGGCAGUUGGUGAGGUAACGGCUCACCAAACCUUCGAUGGAUAGGGGUUCUGAGAGGAAGGUCCCCCACAUUGGAACUGAGACACGGUCCAAACUCCUACGGGAGGCAGCAGUGAGGAAUAUUGGUCAAUGGACGAGAGUCUGAACCAGCCAAGUAGCGUGAAGGAUGACUGCCCUAUGGGUUGUAAACUUCUUUUAUAUGGGAAUAAAGUUUUCCACGUGUGGAAUUUUGUAUGUACCAUAUGAAUAAGGAUCGGCUAACUCCGUGCCAGCAGCCGCGGUAAUACGGAGGAUCCGAGCGUUAUCCGGAUUUAUUGGGUUUAAAGGGAGCGUACGUGGACAGUUAAGUCAGUUGUGAAAGUUUGCGGCUCAACCGUAAAAUUGCAGUUGAUCCUGGCUGUCUUGAGUACCGUACAGGUGGCCGGAAUUCCUGGUGCAGCGGUGAAAUGCUAUAAUAUCACGAAGAACUUCGGAUUGCGAAGGCAGCUCACUGGACUGCAACUGACACUGAUGCUUGAAAGUGUGGGUAUCAAACAGGGAUUAGGAUACCCUGGUGGUUCACACAGUAAACGAUGAAUACUCGCUGUUUGCGAUAUACAGUAAGCGGCCAAGCGAAAGCAUUAAGUAUUCCACCUGGGGAGUACGCCGGCAACGGUGAAACUCAAAGGAAUUGACGGGGGCCCGCACAAGCGGAGGAACAUGUGGUUUAAUUCGAUGAUACGCGAGGAACCUUACCCGGGCUUAAAUUGCAUUUGAAUAAUCUGGAAACAGGUUAGCCGCAAGGCAAAUGUGAAGGUGCUGCAUGGUUGUCGUCAGCUCGUGCCGUGAGGUGUCGGCUUAAGUGCCAUAACGAGCGCAACCCUUAUCUUUAGUUACUAACAGGUCAUGCUGAGGACUCUAGAGAGACUGCCGUCGUAAGAUGUGAGGAAGGUGGGGAUGACGUCAAAUCAGCACGGCCCUUACGUCCGGGGCUACACACGUGUUACAAUGGGGGGUACAGAAGGCAGCUACCUGGUGACAGGAUGCUAAUCCCAAAAGCCUCUCUCAGUUCGGAUCGAAGUCUGCAACCCGACUUCGUGAAGCUGGAUUCGCUAGUAAUCGCGCAUCAGCCAUGGCGCGGUGAAUACGUUCCCGGGCCUUGUACACACCGCCCGUCAAGCCAUGAAAGCCGGGGGUACCUGAAGUACGUAACCGCAAGGAGCGUCCUAGGGUAAAACUGGUAAUUGGGGCUAAGUCAUAACAAG
Molecule: ribosomal RNA, 1470 nt
Filed under: uncultured organism
Description: SSU rRNA
Rfam family: Bacterial small subunit ribosomal RNA
Source: RNAcentral